GAUGAACGCUGGCGGCGUGCCUAAUACAUGCAAGUCGAGCGAACGGACGAGAAGCUUGCUUCUCUGAUGUUAGCGGCGGGCGGGUGUGUCACACGUGGAUAACCUACCUAUCAGACUGGGAUAACUUCGGGACACCGUAGCUAAUACCGGAUAAUAUUUUGAACCGCAGGGUUCAAAAGUGAGAGACGGUCUUGCUGUCUCUUCUAGAUGGAUCCGCGCUGCAUUAGCUAGUUGGUAAGGUAACGGGCUACCAAGGCAAGGAUGCCUGGCCGACCUGUGAGGCUGAUCGGCCACACUGGAGCUGAGACGCGGUCCAGACUCCUACGGGAGGCAGCAGUAGCGAAUCUUCCGCAAUGGGCGAAAGCCUGACGGAGCAACGGCGCGUGAGUGAUGAAGGUCUUCGGAUCGUAAAACUCUGUUAUUAGUGAAGAACAUAUGUGUAAGUAACUGUGCACAUCUUGACGGUACCUAAUCAGAAAGCCACGGCUAACUACGUG
RNAcentral lists this ribosomal RNA (497 nucleotides) under uncultured bacterium. Its description in RNAcentral is "partial 16S ribosomal RNA". It matches the Rfam family "Bacterial small subunit ribosomal RNA", at positions 28 to 507 of the family's 1533-position model. The record is from RNAcentral.